RNAcentral lists this ribosomal RNA (367 nucleotides) under uncultured bacterium. Its description in RNAcentral is "bacterial SSU rRNA". It matches the Rfam family "Bacterial small subunit ribosomal RNA", at positions 28 to 396 of the family's 1533-position model. The record is from RNAcentral.
GAUGAACGCUAGCGGCAGGCUUAAUACAUGCAAGUCGAGGGGCAGCGGGAGUAGCAAUACUUGCCGGCGACCGGCGCACGGGUGCGUAACACGUAUGUAAUCUGCCCAUCACAGGAGGAUAGCCCGGAGAAAUUCGGAUUAAUACUCCAUAAUAGAAGAUAAAGCAUUUUAUUUCUUGAAAGUUCCGACGGUGAUGGAUGAACAUGCGACUGAUUAGUUUGUUGGUGAGGUAACGGCUCACCAAGACUACGAUCAGUAGGGGUACUGAGAGGUUAAACCCCCACACUGGUACUGAGACACGGACCAGACUCCUACGGGAGGCAGCAGUUAAGGAAUAUUCGAGAAUGCGCAAGCUGAUCCAGCCAUG